GAGGUGUGGAAACAGCUGCUGUGCCUCCAGUCCAGUGUCCAUUUUCCUUUGAGGAGGUGGCUGUAAAUUUCACCAUGGCAGAGUGGGCCCUGCUGGAUCCAGACCAAAGAGCUCUCUACCGGGAAGUCAUGCUGGAGAACUAUGGAAACGUGACCUCUCUGG
Molecule: long non-coding RNA, 162 nt
Organism: Heteronotia binoei (common prickly gecko)
Lineage: Eukaryota; Metazoa; Chordata; Lepidosauria; Squamata; Gekkonidae
Exons: 2
Source: RefSeq, a predicted model, not a curated record